Molecule: ribosomal RNA, 467 nt
Filed under: uncultured bacterium
Lineage: Bacteria
Description: partial 16S ribosomal RNA
Rfam family: Bacterial small subunit ribosomal RNA
Source: RNAcentral
GACGAACGCUGGCGGCGUGCUUAACACAUGCAAGUCGAACGGAAAGGCCUCUUUCGGGGGGUACUCGAGUGGCGAACGGGUGAGUAACACGUGAGUAACCUGCCCUUGACUUUGGGAUAACUUCAGGAAACUGGGGCUAAUACCGGAUAGGAGCUCCUGCUGCAUGGUGGGGGUUGGAAAGUUUCGGCGGUUGGGGAUGGACUCGCGGCUUAUCAGCUUGUUGGUGGGGUAGUGGCUUACCAAGGCUUUGACGGGUAGCCGGCCUGAGAGGGUGACCGGCCACAUUGGGACUGAGAUACGGCCCAGACUCCUACGGGAGGCAGCAGGGGGGAAUAUUGCACAAUGGGUGGAAGCCUGAUGCAGCAACGCCGUGGGCGGGAGGACGGCCUUCGGGUUGUAAACCGCUUUCGCUCAUGACGAAGCUUUGUGUGACGGUAGUGGGUAAAGAAGCACCGGCUAACUACGUG